AUUCUUGGAUAGUUAGAACUAAAAGUAAAAUUGUGUUUGGUUUGUAAUAUGGUAUUUCUAGAAAAAAUAAAAUUAUGUUUGGUUAAUUUUAUGGAAUAAUAGAAGAUAGUGGAAAAAAAUGAUCAUUUGAAUUUGAUAUAAAAUAUAAUUUAGCAAAAAUAAUUUCUUAUAAAAACAACUAUUGUAAAAAUAAUUUGUUAUAGUAUUUAAUAAAAAUAAUUUAUCAUAAUAUUUAAAUAUAAUUUAUUAUAAUAGUUAAAUAUAAAUAAUAUGUAUUAAUAUAGUACAAUUAAUAUAAAAUCCCCCUACUA
This 311-nucleotide long non-coding RNA is filed under the name Ananas comosus (pineapple). RNAcentral describes it as "long non-coding RNA (ACOM_LNC029497)". The record is from RNAcentral. Lineage: Eukaryota; Viridiplantae; Streptophyta; Magnoliopsida; Poales; Bromeliaceae.